RNAcentral lists this ribosomal RNA (109 nucleotides) under Echinops telfairi (small Madagascar hedgehog). The record is from RNAcentral. Lineage: Eukaryota; Metazoa; Chordata; Mammalia; Afrosoricida; Tenrecidae.
GGCUACAGCCAGAGCACCCCAAAUGCACCUAGUCUGAUCGAAUCUCAGAAGGUAAACAGGGUUGCACCUGGUUAUUACUGGAAUGGAAGAUUCCCUGAUGUUCUCUUCU